Molecule: ribosomal RNA, 702 nt
Filed under: Triticum aestivum (bread wheat)
Lineage: Eukaryota; Viridiplantae; Streptophyta; Magnoliopsida; Poales; Poaceae
Description: partial small subunit ribosomal RNA
Source: RNAcentral
AUGUACACGGCUUUCCAGGUGGACGAACAUACGUUCAAGGUGUGUUCUAUCAUGGGCAUGUCGGAUUCAGAACCUGAAGACCCAGACAAGGGAAGGAACUACUUUGUGAAGGCAUCGAUAAGCGAAGGCGAAUACUACUGCCAAUGCUGCAAAUUCGAACGGGACGGGAUUGUGUGCUGUCACAUUCUAAAAGUAAUGGACUUGAACGCGGUGACACGAAUGCCCCGCCAUUUCAUAAGGCGGCGAUGGACUUGGGACGCUGACGACGCAUUGGCGCCGCAAACAUCAAACACAGUUUUGGCCGUGCAUGACGAGAGACCAGAGUCAACCAUGGAAGCCGUGAGGCACGUUGUGUUGACAAAGAACUAUGCUGAACUAAUUGAUGAAGCGUGCAAGAGUGAUGAGACAGCAAGGGUCGUAGAAAAACACAGGAAGGCCCUCAAAAGAGAGCUUGAUGAGAUCAAGAAGAGGAAUGCUGAGGAAGCCUUACAUAGGUUCCCCCGCACAUCAAGUGUUCCUUCGUCCAUAGGGCCAUCAUCUGAAAACUCAGAGGUAGGAUCUGGAACAGCAAGCACACAAACACAGGUUUUGAACCCGCCCCGUUCCAUCACAAAAGGGGGUCCAAAAGAGAUAAGAUACAAAUCGGGAUUGGAGAUUCAAGCAAAACACAAGAAACCAAAGAAAGGGACGGGCAAUCCGUAA